UACAGAGGUCCCAAGCGUUGUUCGGAUUCACUGGGCGUAAAGGGUGCGUAGGCGGUUGGGUAAGUCUGAUGUGAAAAUCUCACAGCUUAACUGUGAAACUGCAUUGGAUACUAUCCGGCUAGAGGAAUGGAGGGGAGACUGGAAUACUUGGUGUAGCAGUGAAAUGCGUAGAUAUCAAGUGGACACCAGUGGCGAAGGCGAGUCUCGUGGACAUUUCCUGACGCUGAGGCACGAAAGCCAGGGGAGCAAACGGG
Molecule: ribosomal RNA, 254 nt
Filed under: uncultured bacterium
Lineage: Bacteria
Description: partial 16S ribosomal RNA
Rfam family: Bacterial small subunit ribosomal RNA
Source: RNAcentral